AGCGUAACAAUUACUGUAUGAAAAAGGAAAGGAAUGAGAGAGUAACAAUUACUGUAUGAAAAAGGAAAGGAAUGAGAGCGUAAUAAUUACUGUAUGAGGAAAGGAAUGAGAGCGUAACAAUUACUGUAUGAGAGAAAGGAAAGGAAUGAGAGCGUAACAAUUACUGUAUGAAAAAGGAAAGGAAUGACAGCGUAACAAUUACUGUAUGAAAAAAGGAAAGGAAUGAGAGCAUAACAAUUACUGUAUGAGAAAAGGAAAGGAAUGAGAGCGUAACAAUUACUGUAUGAAAAAGGAAAGGAAUGAGAGCGUAACAAUUACUGUAUGAAAAAGGAAAGGAAUGAGAGCGUAACAAUUACUGUAUGAAAAAGGAAAGGAAUGAGAGCGUAACAAUUACUGUAUGAAAAAGGAAAGGAAUGAGAGCAUAACAAUUACUGUAUGAAAAAGGAAAGGAAUGAGAGCGUAACAAUUACUGUAUGAAAAAGGAAAGGAAUGAGAGCAUAACAAUUACUGUAUGAGAAA
This is a long non-coding RNA of Protopterus annectens (West African lungfish), 519 nucleotides long. RefSeq lists it as uncharacterized. The record is from RefSeq and is a predicted model, not a curated record. The transcript is spliced from 2 exons. NCBI's taxonomy places the organism in Eukaryota, Metazoa, Chordata, Ceratodontiformes, Protopteridae.